GGGAUUGCCUCAGUAACGGCGAGUGAAGCGGCAUCAGCCCAAUUUUGAAAGCCUCCGGGCGUUGUAGUGGCGGCAAAGACACACCGGCAAGUCCCUUGGAACAGGGCGCCUCAGAGGGUGACAGCCCCGUACGGUACCGUCUGCUAAUUGCCGCCGGGCGAGUCGAGUUGUUUGGGAAUGCAGCUCAAACGGGUGGUAAACUCCAUCCAAGGCUAAAUACCGGCGAGAGACCGAUAGCGAACAAGUACAGUGAUGGAAAGAUGAAAAGCACUUUGAAAAGAGAGUGAAAAAGUACGUGAAAUUGGUGUGAGGGAAGGGGGCGGGGGGAAGUAGGCCGCGGGUUGGGCAGCAGCGAAAAGGGCCGGGAACCGCUUCGGCGGCGCCCCAGCUGACUGCUG
RNAcentral lists this ribosomal RNA (398 nucleotides) under [Candida] sp. Its description in RNAcentral is "partial large subunit ribosomal RNA". It matches the Rfam family "Eukaryotic large subunit ribosomal RNA", at positions 71 to 509 of the family's 3401-position model. Lineage: Eukaryota; Fungi; Ascomycota; Saccharomycetes; Saccharomycetales. The record is from RNAcentral.